UCCUCCCUCUUUCUUCGUGCCUAAUACAUGCAAGUAGAACGCACAGUUUAUACCGUAGCUUGCUACACCAUACACUGUGAGUUGCGAACGGGCGAGUAACGCGUAGGUAACCUGCCUGGUAGCUGGGGAUAACUAUUGGAAACGAUAGCUAAUACCGCAUAAUAUUCAUUAUUGCAUGAUAAUUGAUUGAAAGAUGCAAUUGCAUCACUACCAGAUGGACCUGCGUUGUAUUAGCUAGUAGGUGAGGUAACGGCUCACCUAGGCGACGAUACAUAGCCGACCUGAGAGGGUGAUCGGCCACACUGGGACUGAGACACGGCCCAGACGCCUACGGGAGGCAGCAGUAGGGAAUCUUCGGCAAUGGACGAAAGUCUGACCGAGCAACGCCGCGUGAGUGAAGAAGGUUUUCGGAUCGUAAAGCUCUGUUGUAAGAGAAGAACGGGUGUGAGAGUGGAAAGUUCACACUGUGACGGUAUCUUACCAGAAAGGGACGGCUAACUACGUG
This 505-nucleotide ribosomal RNA is filed under the name uncultured bacterium. RNAcentral describes it as "partial 16S ribosomal RNA". It matches the Rfam family "Bacterial small subunit ribosomal RNA", at positions 36 to 507 of the family's 1533-position model. The record is from RNAcentral.